RNAcentral lists this transfer RNA (82 nucleotides) under Dreissena polymorpha. RNAcentral describes it as "tRNA-Ser". It matches the Rfam family "tRNA". From Rfam's summary of the family: Transfer RNA (tRNA) molecules are approximately 80 nucleotides in length. Their secondary structure includes four short double-helical elements and three loops (D, anti-codon, and T loops). The record is from RNAcentral. Lineage: Eukaryota; Metazoa; Mollusca; Bivalvia; Myida; Dreissenidae.
GUUGCCGUGACCUAGUCGUUAAGGCGAUAAACAUGAAAUCUUUUGGGAUCUUCCCGCACAGGUUCGAAUCCUGCCGACAACG